CCUAACACAUGCAAGUCGAACGGUAACAGGAAACAGCUUGCUGUUUCGCUGACGAGUGGCGGACGGGUGAGUAAUGUCUGGGAAACUGCCUGAUGGAGGGGGAUAACUACUGGAAACGGUAGCUAAUACCGCAUAACGUCGCAAGACCAAAGAGGGGGACCUUCGGGCCUCUUGCCAUCAGAUGUGCCCAGAUGGGAUUAGCUAGUAGGUGGGGUAACGGCUCACCUAGGCGACGAUCCCUAGCUGGUCUGAGAGGAUGACCAGCCACACUGGAACUGAGACACGGUCCAGACUCCUACGGGAGGCAGCAGUGGGGAAUAUUGCACAAUGGGCGCAAGCCUGAUGCAGCCAUGCCGCGUGUAUGAAGAAGGCCUUCGGGUUGUAAAGUACUUUCAGCGGGGAGGAAGGGAGUAAAGUUAAUACCUUUGCUCAUUGACGUUACCCGCAGAAGAAGCACCGGCUAACUCCGUGCCAGCAGCCGCGGUAAUACGGAGGGUGCAAGCGUUAAUCGGAAUUACGGGGCGUAAAGCGCACGCAGGCGGUUUGUUAAGUCAGAUGUGAAAUCCCCGGGCUCAACCUGGGAACUGCAUCUGAUACUGGCAAGCUUGAGUCUCGUA
This 617-nucleotide ribosomal RNA is filed under the name uncultured bacterium. RNAcentral describes it as "bacterial SSU rRNA". It matches the Rfam family "Bacterial small subunit ribosomal RNA", at positions 47 to 653 of the family's 1533-position model. The record is from RNAcentral.